AUUGAACGCUGGCGGCAGGCUUAACACAUGCACGUCGAGCGAGCGGCGGACGGGUGCGUAAUGCUUCGGAAUCUGCAUAUUAGUGGGGGAGAACAUCCCGAAAGGGGUGCUAAUACCUCAUACUAACAGAUGAGCAUAAUUUGGAUUAGCUAGGUGGUGGGGUAAAUGCCCACCAAGGCGACGAUCUGUAGCUGGUCUGAGAGGAUGAUCAGCCACAAUGGAAGUGUGACACGGUCCGGACUCCUCCGGGAGGUAGCAGUGGGGAAGAUUGGACAAUGGGCGAAACCCUGAUCCAGCCAUGCCGCGUGUGUGAAGAAGGCUUCGGGUUGUAAAGCACUUUCAGCGGGGAGGCGUUACCUGCAGAAGAAGCACCGGCUAACUCCGUGCCAGCAGCCGCGGUAAUAC
This 405-nucleotide ribosomal RNA is filed under the name uncultured bacterium. RNAcentral's name for it is "partial 16S ribosomal RNA". It matches the Rfam family "Bacterial small subunit ribosomal RNA", at positions 30 to 526 of the family's 1533-position model. The record is from RNAcentral.